CCUACGGGCGGCAGCAGUAGGGAAUCUUUCACAAUGGGCGAAAGCCUGAUGGAGCAACGCCGCGUGCAGGAUGAAGGCCUUCGGGUUGUAAACUGCUUUUAUAAGCGAGAAAUAUGAUGGUAACUUAUGAAUAAGGAUCGGCUAACUACGUGCCAGCAGCCGCGGUCAUACGUAGGAUCCGAGCAUUAUCCGGAGUGACUGGGUGUAAAGAGUUGCGUAGGUGGCAUAAUAAGUAGCUAGUGAAAUCUGGUGGCUCAACCAUUCAGACUAUUAGCUAAACUGUUAAGCUCGAGACCGUUAGGGGUAACUGGAAGUUCUAGUGUAGGAGUGAAAUCCGUAGAUAUGAGAAGGAACACCAAUAGCGUAGGCAGGUUGCUGGGACGGUUCUGACACUAAGGCACGAAAGCGUAGGGAGCAAACGGGAUUAGAUACCCGUUAGUC
Molecule: ribosomal RNA, 441 nt
Filed under: uncultured bacterium
Lineage: Bacteria
Description: partial 16S ribosomal RNA
Rfam family: Bacterial small subunit ribosomal RNA
Source: RNAcentral